RNAcentral lists this microRNA (22 nucleotides) under Monodelphis domestica (gray short-tailed opossum). RNAcentral's name for it is "mdo-miR-7260-3p". The record is from miRBase by way of RNAcentral. Lineage: Eukaryota; Metazoa; Chordata; Mammalia; Didelphimorphia; Didelphidae.
ACCACAAUUGGCUUAGCCAAUU